UCAAACUUGGUCAUUUAGAGGAAGUAAAAGUCGUAACAAGGUUUCCGUAGGUGAACCUGCGGAAGGAUCAUCAUCGUGUUCACGCUGGCGCUGGUGGGGGUGGGGCUUCCCUCCUCCGUCUAGCCUGCCAGCGGAUCCCUCAUCGGAUCAUCCUCAUCCAUGUGUUGUUGACCUCAUGCUUGGCAGGAUUCCUUAUCGUGGCUGUCGUGAGAGACGGUCGAGAGAGAGGACCUGCCAAUCGUUUUUAUCUCAAUUUAUAUUAUUAUUUCCAUGUGUAAAAAAGGUGUUGCGCUGUUAUGCGUAACCAGAAUUUCACACAACUGUCAGCAACGGAUCACUCGGUUCUCGCAUCGAUGAAGAACGCAGC
RNAcentral lists this unclassified non-coding RNA (367 nucleotides) under uncultured fungus. RNAcentral describes it as "partial contains small subunit ribosomal RNA, internal transcribed spacer 1, and 5.8S ribosomal RNA". The stretch from base 1 to 73 matches the Rfam family "Eukaryotic small subunit ribosomal RNA", at positions 1759 to 1831 of the family's 1831-position model. The record is from RNAcentral. Lineage: Eukaryota; Fungi.